Molecule: non-coding RNA, 106 nt
Organism: Podarcis lilfordi (Lilford's wall lizard)
Lineage: Eukaryota; Metazoa; Chordata; Lepidosauria; Squamata; Lacertidae
Source: the annotation of a GenBank genome assembly
ACCUUAGAGACCAACUAAGUUUGUUCUGGGUAUAAGCUUUGGUGUGAAGAAGUCUGCAUGCACACGAAAGCUUAUACCCAGAACAAACUUAGUUGUUCUCUAAGGU